Molecule: RNase P RNA, 323 nt
Filed under: Flavobacteriales bacterium 33_180_T64
Lineage: Bacteria; Pseudomonadati; Bacteroidota; Flavobacteriia; Flavobacteriales
Description: RNase P RNA component class A
Rfam family: Bacterial RNase P class A
About the family: Ribonuclease P (RNase P) is a ubiquitous endoribonuclease, found in archaea, bacteria and eukarya as well as chloroplasts and mitochondria. Its best characterised activity is the generation of mature 5'-ends of tRNAs by cleaving the 5'-leader elements of precursor-tRNAs.
Source: RNAcentral
CAAGUAAUUCGCCUUAUCGCUGUUCGCUUUGCGAAUGGAGGAAAGUCCGAACACCAUAGUGCAAUCAUAGUGGUUAACAGCCAUCCAUCGAGAGGUGAGGAAAAGUGCAACAGAAAGUAUGUACAGGUUAUGCUGUAGUGAAACCAGGUAAACUCUAUGAGGUGCAAUGUCAUGUAAACUAGUGCUUGAGCGUACACGCGCGAUGCUAGAGGGUAGACAGCUUAAGUUUGCUAGUAAUAGUAAGCGUAGAUAAAUGAUAAGGAUACAACAUGAUUUUUAUGAUCAUUAGUAUACAAAAUUCGGCUUAUAGAUUUACUUAACCA